Gasterosteus aculeatus aculeatus (three-spined stickleback) is the source of this 1264-nucleotide long non-coding RNA. NCBI's taxonomy places the organism in Eukaryota, Metazoa, Chordata, Actinopteri, Perciformes, Gasterosteidae. The record is from Ensembl.
GAGUGGCGUCUCCUGAAUCAGGUCACCUGGCCUCCCCUCCAUUGCUUUACCAAAGGACGGUGGCCCCCCUCUGGUUCACUGGGAUUUCUCACUUACAAAAUACAACAGGACCACGGUUCCUGUCAUCAGCCCUCACAAAAGAGACGACUACUCGCUUUGCUCUGGACAGAAAAUCAAGAGGGGGGAUAAUGGGUCACUGUUUUUUUUCUCUCUUUCUCUCUCUUUGUAAGCUUCAAACAAGUGCAAAUAUCACCUUGAUGUGAACUCUUCGGGUCUGUACUGAGUCUCCGGGACAAUCCCACCGCUAUACGCAACAAGGGGAAGGGACUUUGUGCGAACUCCCCGUGAGAUUGACAGUAUCGGGACACAAGGGCCCCCGGGAAACCAACUUUUUGUUUUUCCCCCCCCCCAACAAAACAAUCAAAAAACUCAACCCUGAAAAGGGGGGGGGGGGGGGGGGGGCGCGUCUUUUACAUCUGUGUGCUUUGUACGUCGUACCGUGGUGAACACAUCCUCAGCUUGUUCCUUUCAGAUUUGACCUCCCACUCACCUUCACGUCUGCGCUCGCGGCUACGGAGGACUGUAGCUCCAGCAACGUCUGCUGAACUAGAGGAAGAGGAAACUGUAGCGUGGACUCAAAACAAACAAUGUUGCACUGAUAAAUAUAUUUAAGAGGUUUAUGUGUUUAUAGCGUUCAUUUGCAAAAAAGAAAAAAACUGAAUUCAAAAACAGAAGAGCGUGUUCAUUUAUUUCAUCUUUUUUAUACAUAUAUAAAUAUAUAGUUUCAGAUUAUGUGAUAAUUCUGAAAUGUAAAAAUAUUGAGAUGUUUUCAUUAUUGAAAAAGGCAUAAAAGAUUUUUCAAUGGUAAUGUCCCUCUCCCUCUAUUUACAUGGCAUAUUAACGCUUCAUUUUGUACUGUCAUUCAAAUUUUGUGCCGAUUUUUUUUUUUACAAGAACAAGAAAAGAAGACUUUUAUUUUCAAUACUGCUUCUGUAAUUUGCUGUUGUAGGAAAAAAUGAAUAAACAGCAAGGCCUUAAAAGAAUGUUUGUCGUGACCCACAAACUAUGUUUCCUUUUCCAGUCAGAUCCACAUCACAGCCGUUAACCAGCAGCUCUUUGACACAACAUCUGUUUUUGCAUCAAAGUAAGGUGAAAGCACUAUUUCAGUCAGCAAGAUAGUAAUGUAAAACCAGAGCGACUUGUAGUCUUUGUCUCACAGCUGUUGCUUUCAAAAUUCACAAAUAAAAGGCAUCUUCAGAUGAAA